AAAAGGCUUUGCAGACGCUGCCGCCGAAGAAAUUCUUGUACUACUAGCCAUGGUCAACCCUACCGUGUUCUUCGACAUUGCCGUCGACGGCGAGCCCUUGGGCCGCGUCUCCUUCGAGCUGUUUGCAGACAAGGUUCCAAAGACAGCAGAAAAUUUUCGUGCUCUGAGCACUGGAGAGAAAGGACUUGGUUAUAAGGGUUCCUGCUUUCACAGAAUUAUUCCAGGGUUUAUGUGUCAGGGUGGUGACUUCACACGCCAUAAUGGCACUGGUGGCAAGUCCAUCUAUGGGGAGAAAUUUGAAGAUGAGAACUUCAUCCUAAAGCAUACAGGUCCUGGCAUCUUGUCCAUGGCAAAUGCUGGACCCAACACAAAUGGUUCCCAGUUUUUCAUCUGCACUGCCAAGACUGAGUGGUUGGAUGGCAAGCAUGUGGUCUUUGGCAAAGUGAAAGAAGGCAUGAAUAUUGUGGAGGCCAUGGAGCGCUUUGGGUCCAGGAAUGGCAAGACCAGCAAGAAGAUCACCAUUGCUGACUGUGGACAACUCGAAUAA
Molecule: RNA transcript, 547 nt
Organism: Piliocolobus tephrosceles (Ugandan red Colobus)
Lineage: Eukaryota; Metazoa; Chordata; Mammalia; Primates; Cercopithecidae
Gene name: peptidyl-prolyl cis-trans isomerase A pseudogene
Exons: 1
Source: RefSeq, a predicted model, not a curated record